This 73-nucleotide transfer RNA is filed under the name Stegodyphus mimosarum. It matches the Rfam family "tRNA". From Rfam's summary of the family: Transfer RNA (tRNA) molecules are approximately 80 nucleotides in length. The record is from Rfam by way of RNAcentral. Lineage: Eukaryota; Metazoa; Arthropoda; Arachnida; Araneae; Eresidae.
GCCUUCGCCGUGUAAUGAUCAGCACACUCGGCCCGUAUUCGAGAGGUCCGAGGUUCGAAUCCCGGCUAGAGCA